Molecule: long non-coding RNA, 1375 nt
Filed under: Malus domestica (apple)
Lineage: Eukaryota; Viridiplantae; Streptophyta; Magnoliopsida; Rosales; Rosaceae
Description: long non-coding RNA (MDOM_LNC002426)
Source: RNAcentral
AAAUUCACCGGAUUUGGAACCAGGUCGAAACUGGGUUGUGCAUGGGUUGAAAGGAAGGUUUCAUUGAUAGGAGCAUAUUUAUGCGACUUAGUUGGCUUGUUCUUGUGCAUUUAUGUCGUGUUUCCUUAGUUAUUUUAAUGUUUAAAGUCAUUUUCAUGUGUUUUUAGAUUUUAAGGACAAAGUAGGCAAGAAGAUGCAUUUUGGAGCAUUUUGGAGCAAAAUGGAGCUUGGAAUGCAUGUCACAUAUUUGGAACCAAGGUUUGGACGAAAUUGAAGACUUAAAGAGGUUAAGAAUGUGAAGAAUUACUGUGCAAAGGAUCAUGAAUUCAGCCACAAAAGAACAAGAGCAUCCUUGCCGUGCAAUCCACAUUGCAUUCCCUUUGGAUUCCGAUGCAUGCUUAAUCAUCCUUGUCCCCUAAAAUAUUUCUGAUUUCAUGCCCCAAUACACUCAAUUAUCACACUCAAUUGCUGCAUACCUCUUGUUCCCUUCACCCAUCUGAUUUCACACAACUUUCACAACCAUUCCAUGCACCAAUUGAUGCUCCAUCAUCCACAUUUGGGAUCCAAUGCCUUGUGCAACACAUGUUGCUGCACCUUUAACUAAUUUAUGAAACAUUUCACCUCCCAUUUUCAUUUCCAUGCAAUGAACACAAUCAUUCAUGCUCCCUAGCUGAAAUACCACUCCAUUUUACCCUCCAUACUUUGCAUCAUUGCUCCAUUUUCAUCCUUGGACCAUUGCACACCACAAAUUCACCCUCCUUGCUGUGCAUUUCCCCACUGCCUAAUCUGAUUCUCUAGGGUUUUUGGGGCCUAUAUGUACAUGUUUACAACCCUUGGCAAAGGGUUGAACCUCCCAUAUUCAUCAUUCAUGCAGAAAAUUCGUCCAGACUCACCCUAGGCAGCAAAACACCAAAAAAACACCAUUCUAGUGCCCAGAAAACAUAACAGCCACUCCACCUUAUUCCACCAUCUUUGCCGAGUUCUCUACCACCCUCCAACCAUCAAACACUCCUCCACACUCACCCUAAACCUUUCCAUACCAUUCCCCAUCCAUUCUACACCAUAAAACUACCCUAAACCUGUCCAUAACCCAAUCUGCCGCAAGCAAGGGAAAUGAGAAAUCUUGGAUGCACUUGCUGCCAAGUUGGAGCAUUCUAGGUGUUUUCUUUCUUUGGAUUUUAAUGUCUAAUUCAUGUAAUCUUUGUUUUGCUUUAAGUAUGAUUGGCUAAUUUCGUUUUUGGCUAAGGGUGUAUUCAAAACCAUGAUUAUAUAUGCGAAAUGAGUUGAUUACUUCCAGUUAUUGUUACAUAAGUCGUGAAUACAAUGUGCUUAACCAUUUGAUUUAGAACUUAUUCUUGUAUGUUGAUUGAGAGUG